GACGAACGCUGGCGGCGUGCUUAACACAUGCAAGUCGAACGGUGAAGCGCCUUCCUUUUUGGUGGGUGUGGAUGAGUGGCGAACGGGUGAGUAACACGUGAGUAACCUGCCCCCUUCUUCUGGAUAACCGCAUGAAAGUGUGGCUAAUACGGGAUAUUCUGGGUCUGUCGCAUGAUGGGUCUGGGAAAGAUAUUGUUUCGGUGGGGGAUGGGCUCGCGGCCUAUCAGCUUGUUGGUGGGGUGAUGGCCUACCAAGGCGGUGACGGGUAGCCGGCCUGAGAGGGUGGACGGUCACACUGGGACUGAGACACGGCCCAGCCUCCUACGGGCGGCAGCAGUGGGGAAUAUUGCACAAUGGGCGCAAGCCUGAUGCAGCGACGCCGCGUGAGGGAUGGAGGCCUUCGGGUUGUGAACCUCUUUCGCCAGUGAAGCAGGCCUGCCUCGUUUGUGGGUGGGUUGACGGUAGCUGGAUAAGAAGCGCCGGCUAACUACGUG
This 494-nucleotide ribosomal RNA is filed under the name uncultured bacterium. RNAcentral's name for it is "partial 16S ribosomal RNA". It matches the Rfam family "Bacterial small subunit ribosomal RNA", at positions 28 to 507 of the family's 1533-position model. The record is from RNAcentral.